UUUUCGGUCAACCAGGUGAAGUGGUGUGCACAAUUUUACCUCGGUCCGAGAAAAUUUUCAUUUUUUUGACGUAAUUCUAGUCUUCAACUGAAUUUUUCGGUCUGGAUUUGGACAUGUCAAAAAUAAUUGUAGAGGCAAGCCUCGGUGCGGUUUUUGUACAGAAGAUCAUCUUAUGUUUGUUUGUGAAAAAAGAGAACAAGCAAUGAAAAAAAUGAAAUGCCCUGCAGAUCAUCUUAACAAUCUGACUAAAACGUGUAAAAUUCCAAAUUGUGAAGUAAAUCCAAAACCAAGCUGCGUAAAUUGCAAGGGACACCACACUGCUACUGACUGGGGAUGUCCCGAAUACAAAAGGCAAAAACAAAUUAACGAAACCAUGAGCUUCUACAACCUUUCUUUUUAUGAAGCAGCUAAACUGCAUCCACGGCUAACUAAUGCAAACCAAGGCUUUACCCGAAAACCAGAAGAUUUUCCUAGUUUAAAUAAAAAAACUCAGAAUAAAACUCCUCAUCCAACAAGUUCUCAGGGCUGUUCCUCAUAUACAUCAGUACUUAAAAGAAAACGGCCUGACACCCAAUUUAUCAAAGGGUAUGAUAAAGUAGCCCAUGAACUAACUUUGUUACCCUCAAGUGCAAGAAGAAAAGUCUCAUCUAUACAAGUAGGUGAAAACUUGACAUCAGAGUCGGAAAUGGAAGUAACUCCUGUAGGAAAUGGCUGGGAAGAAGUAUGCAACUAGUUUGAAGCUUUCAAAAAAGACGUUAUGUCAAUAAAGGGUAUGGAUGAAAAUUGUGUCAACAAUAUCAAACAAUAUUUUGGUUCAUUUGACCUACGGUGGGGGGGCGGCUGCGAUGGCAGCGGUUGACCUACAGGGGUUAGAAAAAGAAAAGGUAAUCUUAUCACUAGUUUUAAUCUAACAGUAGUUUUUACGUAACAAAACUAAGUUUAAGUUUUAGUCACAAGCGUUUUAUAGUUGAGCUAUAAUGAAUAUCGUUCAUUGGAACAUUUGCGGGGCUGAAAAAAAUAAAGAUGCUAUCAUUAGAGUUAUAAGGGAUUUUAAGCUACAGAUAUUAUUGCUCAAUGAAACCUUGCUCAAACCCAACACUAACUUUAAAAUAUCAGGGUUCUCUUCUGUAAGAGCUGAUAAACCUAAUGGUGCAGAUGGUAUAGCAAUUUUCUUGAAAAACAAAAUAAAAUAUAAUAUCAUCGACUUAAGCAGAAUUAAUAUACCAGAGAGGUGUCAGGUUAUUCUUGCAGAGCUUGUCGAUUUUUUUAUUUGUUGUGUUUACAACCCUCCAGAUAUUUGUUUGGUCAGGGCACGCCUCGAUUCAAUUUUCGAUCUAACCCGUAAUAAACCAGUCCUCUUUAUGGGAGACUUUAAUGCCCAUAAUCCAAUAUGGGGUUCCCAGGUCAGUUACUCACGGGGAAUUAAAAGUGGGAACAUUUUUUAUGAUUUCAUUAAGGAUCAAGAUUUGUGGGUACUAAAUGAUGGAUCAGCUACUCGGCUCACACGCCCAGGCGUACACAGCGCUCCAGAUGUAGCUUUUUGCUCCCAGAGACAGUCUGGAGUUGCUGACUGCAGGGUUCUCCAGGAUAGAGUGAAUAGCGAUCAUUUUCCUAUUUUGUGUAUCGGAAAUAAACGUUGCAACUCAGGUUCGACAAGAAACUACACUAGUAAAUAUAAUUUCAACAAGGCAGACUGGGAGAAAUUUUCCGAUUUAAUCUCCACGAAAUUUAGAACUUCACCUCCUAUAAAUUAUGAGGAUUUUAUGAAUAUAAUUUUCCUAUCUAUUGCAGAAUCUGUUCCAAUGCAUAAACACUCAUUAAACUACGGGUUACCUUGGUGGGAUAAUGAGUGCGCCAACGCUAUUAAAAGGAAAAGACAAGCAUUCAGAGAUUAUAAAAACAACCCCUCUGAGACCAACUUUCUGGAAUCAUUAAGGACCCGGGCACAAACAAUACAGCUGCUACGUAAGAAGAAAAAGGAAGGCUUUGUCAACUUUUGUGAGAAUCUAUCUCCAAAUACUAGUGCAAAAGAAGUUUGGAGCAGUAUUAGAAGGUUUGCUAAAGCCGUCCAGUAGGAUGAUGGUAUCACCCAGACCCUCUUUACGGAGGCAUCCUUCAUGGAAAUAGUUUAUUGCACACCACUACCGAGAAGCUGGCCGAAUUGCCUUAGCAGCAGUGGCCAAAUAACACGAUGCAAUUCAGUGAGAAUUUCCCCAUCGAUUUAAUAAACAACCACUGCGUCAUAAACAAAUUUACGAGUGGCAUUAAAAAUUCGUAGAAGAUGGCGGUAUCUGCAAAGGAAAAAGGACGGGACGUAUUCGCACAUUCUUCAAAUAACGGCAUUGCAUCUUGACGACCACAACAAAAGGUGCAUCACCCCAUCCUUCCGAAGACAAUGAGUCCGAAAGCAACGCCACACUUGCCUCGGUUAUCCCUUCUUACAUUCAAAAUAUCACUGACCACAUAUCAAAAGUUCUUAAGAAAUAUAACGCCAAAACCAGAUUUAUCACUUGUCCAAAAAUCUCUCAAGAUCUUCGAUCCGUCAAAGACACGAUUCCGAACUAGGCUCAAGGAACGUGAAAGAGCCUUAAGAGUACCACAAAUAAACGCAUCAACAGUUGCCGAACACGUUCACCAAACCGGACAUCCACUUUUAUUGGAUAAAACUAAAAUUCUUGCAUGUAGUCAAUUGUUCUACCAACGAAAAAUCCAAAAAUCUGUAUAAGGAACCAAAUAAUCUUAACUGCAUUUCAGGUCUUUACAACAGGCGAAAAGUCACUCGACUAUUCUGGCGGUGAGGGGUCUAGCAUUAUCCUGCAUAGAAAUGCCGUCUUUGCCCAUAGUGAGUGUUAAAGUGAUGAUCCUUCAGGAUUUCCGUAAUGCCAGAUCAACUCUGUGGGUGCGUCCGAACUGAUUCCCGUCCAAACCAUAAUCGAACUAGCACCAUGUGGACGUGUUUCAUCAAUACAACCUGGAGCAUAUCUUUCUCCGAGUCUCCUACAUACUCCGUCUGAGUCAAUCCAAUCUAAGUGAUUUCGAUCCCGUCGGUGCAAUAGCAGCCCUAAAACAAUCCAUUGGGACAAAGCCUUCUUCUAACCGUCCAUUCGCUAAUAAAUAACAUUUCGAAGCCAAACAGCAAAAGCUGUCCUAUUCCGUAAACUUGCGAACACUAAACAUCAAUCAUCCUCUUGUUGAUCAAGUCAGUCUCCUCGUAGCGUUCGUUGGUAUACAUUUUGUACAGCACAUAGACUCCUACCAACAAUUCUUGCAGUUUCCCUUUUUCCUUGACCAUUAAUGCUACAAUUCUAGUCACAACAAUAGGAUCUAAAGGCAUUAUGACCAGUAUAUUUCCAGAUCCGGACUACAUCGACAACACCAUCGUUACGAUGCCGAAAUAAUUUGUUAAAGGUCAACGGGAUUGGACUAUCCUAACCAAACUACCGAACAAAAAUCCGGAACUGUUAUUAUGCAACAACCCGAAUAAGCGCGCUCUAAACAAAAAAAAACACUGCCCAUAUUUAAAAUCUCGAAUUAACAAGUCAAAGGCGGAUGUCGAUCAAAACUCCGGACAGCCGUUGUAUAGACACGGACACGAGACGUGGACCAAUCAGAGCUCGCCAACGAGCUGACACCUCUGCGGCCCGUAAAUUGUGGCAAACUUCUCCGGCAAGUUCACAGCGAUUUGCGGACGUAUUGAAUAAAAACGUGUUACAUAUCAACUGGCAAACUCGUAAGACGUCUGGUUC
Molecule: RNA transcript, 3746 nt
Organism: Cylas formicarius (sweet potato weevil)
Lineage: Eukaryota; Metazoa; Arthropoda; Insecta; Coleoptera; Brentidae
Gene: Manf
Gene name: mesencephalic astrocyte-derived neurotrophic factor homolog
Exons: 7
Source: RefSeq, a predicted model, not a curated record